RNAcentral lists this ribosomal RNA (327 nucleotides) under uncultured eukaryote. Its description in RNAcentral is "partial 18S ribosomal RNA". It matches the Rfam family "Eukaryotic small subunit ribosomal RNA", at positions 1470 to 1796 of the family's 1831-position model. The record is from RNAcentral.
CCCUUAGAUGUUCUGGGCCGCACGCGCGCUACACUGACGAAUGCAACGAGCUUAUAACCUUGGCCGAAAGGUCUGGGUAAUCUCCAAAUUUCGUCGUGAUGGGGAUAGAUUAUUGCAAUUAUUAAUCUUCAACGAGGAAUGCCUAGUAAGCGCAAGUCAUCAGCUUGCGUUGAUUACGUCCCUGCCCUUUGUACACACCGCCCGUCGCUCCUACCGAUUGAAUGGUCCGGUGAAGCGUUCGGACCGUGGCCUUUGGACGGUUCGCCGUCUGUUGGCUGCGGGAAGUUCGUUAAACCUUAUCAUUUAGCGGAAGGAGAAGUCGUAACA